Molecule: long non-coding RNA, 281 nt
Organism: Populus euphratica (Euphrates poplar)
Lineage: Eukaryota; Viridiplantae; Streptophyta; Magnoliopsida; Malpighiales; Salicaceae
Exons: 2
Source: RefSeq, a predicted model, not a curated record
AUAUAACGUAAAUUAAAUUAGUAUUGCUAGAAUCCUUACGAGAACAAUACAGUAUAUCCUUCAAUGGGUAUUGUCACAAGCAUUGAAGUUCCACGGAAAGGAUGAGCUCAAGCUGAAAAUGUCACUAAACAAGACUUCUACAAUUUGACAUAGAAUAUUAGAUUGGUCAAUUCCUCAUCAGCCUCAUUGCAAAUGGAUGGGAAAAUAAACACUACAUGAGGGCCACCAAUAAGGUAAUAUAUGAACUUUUUACGUUAAAAAAUAGCAUUGAACCAAAUUAA